RNAcentral lists this ribosomal RNA (497 nucleotides) under uncultured bacterium. Its description in RNAcentral is "partial 16S ribosomal RNA". It matches the Rfam family "Bacterial small subunit ribosomal RNA", at positions 28 to 507 of the family's 1533-position model. The record is from RNAcentral.
GAUGAACGCUGGCGGCGUGCCUAAUACAUGCAAGUCGAACGCUGAAGGAAGGAGCUUGCUCUUUCCGGGUGAGUCGCGCACGGGUGAGUAACGCGUAGGUAACCUGCCUGGUAGCGGGGGAUAACUAUUGGAAACGAGAGCUAAUACGGCAUAACAGUAGAUGUUGCAUGACAACUAUGUGAAAGGGGCAAUUGCUCCACUACCACAUGGACCUGCGGUGUAUUGGCUUGGUGGUGGGGUAACGGCGCACCGAGGCGAGGUAACGUAGCCGCCCUGAGAGGGUGGGUGGCCACACUGGGAGUGAGACCGGGCCCAGAGGCACUGGGGUAGCAGCCAGAGGGCAUCUGGGGGCAGGGGUGGGAGACUGACCGAGAAACGCCGAGGGAGGGAAGAAGGUUGUCGGGUCGUAAAGCUCGGUUGUAAGAGAAGAACGAGUGUGAGAGUGGAAAGUUCACACUGUGACGGUAACUUACCAGAAAGCGACGGCUAACUACGUG